GACGAACGCUGGCGGCGUGCUUAACACAUGCAAGUCGAGCGGAAAGGCCCUUCGGGGUCCUCGAGCGGCGAACGGGUGAGUAACACGUGAGUAACCUGCCCCAGACUUUGGGAUAACCCUCGGAAACGGGGGCUAAUACCGGAUACGACACAGCUUCGCAUGGGGUCUGUGUGGAAAGUUUUUCGGUUUGGGAUGGGCUCGCGGCCCAUCAGCUUGUUGGUGGGGUGAUGGCCUACCAAGGCGACGACGGGUAGCCGGCCUGAGAGGGGGACCGGCCACACUGGGACUGCGACAGGGACCAGACUCCUACGGGGGGCAGCAGUGGGAAAUAUUGCACAAUGGGCGGAAGCCUGAUGCAGCGACGCCGCGUGAGGGAUGACGGCCUUCGGGUUGUAAACCUCUUUCAGCAGGGACGAAGCGUAAGUGACGGUACCUGCAGAAGAAGCGCCGGCCAACUACGUG
Molecule: ribosomal RNA, 462 nt
Filed under: uncultured bacterium
Lineage: Bacteria
Description: partial 16S ribosomal RNA
Rfam family: Bacterial small subunit ribosomal RNA
Source: RNAcentral